Molecule: ribosomal RNA, 469 nt
Filed under: uncultured bacterium
Lineage: Bacteria
Description: partial 16S ribosomal RNA
Rfam family: Bacterial small subunit ribosomal RNA
Source: RNAcentral
ACUCCAGACUCCUACGGGAGGCAGCAGUGAGGAAUAUUGGUCAAUGGGCGGAAGCCUGGACCAGCCAAGUCGCGUGAGGGAAUAAGGCCCUACGGGUCGUAAACCUCUUUUGCCGGGGAGCAAGGGCGGGGACGUGUCCCGGCCCGGAGAGUACCCGGAGAAAAAGCAUCGGCUAACUCCGUGCCAGCAGCCGCGGUAAUACGGAGGAUGCGAGCGUUAUCCGGAUUUAUUGGGUUUAAAGGGUGCGUAGGCGGGCUGUUAAGGCAGCGGUCAAAUGUCGGGGCUCAACCCCGGCCUGCCGUUGAAACUGGCGGCCUCGAGUGGGCGAGAAGUAUGCGGAAUGCGUGGUGUAGCGGUGAAAUGCAUAGAUAUCACGCAGAGCCCCGAUUGCGAAGGCAGCCUUCCGGCGCCCUACUGACGCUGAGGCACGAAAGUGCGGGGGUCGAACAGGAUUAGAUACCCGCGUAAA